UUGUUGUCAACUUAAUUAUUAAAAAGUGUGCAAAAUUUGAAUUAAAAUCAAUGGUUUGUUCAUUAGUUAUUAAGGUUUAAAUCUAUUAUAGGAAUAACUUGGAAUUGGUUAGGAUUUAAUUUAAGAUUUGGUUUAGGAUUAGGGUUAGGUUUUUGGAUUGAUUUAAAGUUUGAUUAGGAUUAAGAUUUGUUUAAGAUUUGAUUAAGGUUUGAUUAGAAUUUUUCUAGGAUUUUAUUAAGAUUUAUUUAGAAUUUGACUAGGAUUUAUUUAGAGUUUGAUUUGGAUUUGGUUGUGAUUUAAUUAGGAUUUGACUAGGAUUUGGUUAAGAUUUAUUUAGGAUUUGACUAAAAUUUGACUAAAAUUUGACCAAGGUUUGACUAGGUUUUGAUAAGGUUUUUAUUAGGAUUUAAUUAAGAUUUUUAUUUUAAUAUUUUAUUAAGAUUUCUAUUUUAGUAUAUGUAUAUAUA
This 467-nucleotide long non-coding RNA is filed under the name Physcomitrium patens. Its description in RNAcentral is "long non-coding RNA (PPAT_LNC000774)". The record is from RNAcentral. Lineage: Eukaryota; Viridiplantae; Streptophyta; Bryopsida; Funariales; Funariaceae.